UGCCAACAAAUUACUGCACAGGUGUACAAUGAAUACAGAACUCGUGACAUAGGAACUUCAUUGUUCACAUGGAUGGAACACAAUUUGCCUGCAUCUGAUGAUAAGAUUACUUCACCAACAUUUUUCGCCGGGUAUUAAUUUACCAACAUGAUUGGUAAUCAAAUUCAGAACUCAGAACAUGUCAGAUAUUGAUAAUAGGUGGAAUGUGAGAUUACGUGAAAGCACUUUAAUUUUUUUCCCAGAACUUUUCAUUUUAACCUUUGCUCGUAUAAGUCAGAGCAUUGUAAAGUCAGAACACACUGAUUUGGACCACACCGAGGUAUAAUUUCAGAGUCUAAGGCCCUCCACAU
RNAcentral lists this small RNA (350 nucleotides) under Oryza sativa Japonica Group (Japanese rice). Its description in RNAcentral is "sRNA Os01g0221800". The record is from RNAcentral. Lineage: Eukaryota; Viridiplantae; Streptophyta; Magnoliopsida; Poales; Poaceae.